UAAUAUGGCUGGUGGGUUGUCUCUCGUCUGUUGCACGGUGUUGCUGCCGUCUCAUUCAUUCGCGUUAGCUAUGAAGUCUCUCUGCGUGCAGAGUAAUCACAGGCCCGUCCAUUCAACUGGGGCAAGUCCUAGACUUGACGUGCCUGUACUAUCCACCAUACACUGGCUGACCGAGAUGGGCGGUUGUCUCCGUCAGUUUGAUUCCCGCACUGGAAUUAGCCGUUCCUCAAAUCACACGGUCACAUCAGAGAAUCGUCUAUCAGAUCCGAGAAGAACCGAGACUCGUUGAUUUAAAGCGGAUUCUCGAUCAGCCGAUUUGGAGGUCCACUGCAAGCCCGGUGUAUUAAAAUUCCUUGUUCGUGUGAAGCUUACAGAGUAAAGAGACUACUUGGUAAAAAUGCAUGCAGCAUCGAGCGCAAAAGAACAGAAAGGUGCAUUUUGAAGUAGUGCUAAAAGAAAUGCUAAAGCGACAAUAACGGAAUAAUCGAGAGAGGUAGAAUUGAGAACGUGGCAGCACCACCGAAAGACUCAUUUAAUGGGUAGCUAUUUUGGCGCUGUAGAUCUAGAAGAUUCAUCACAACCACAACCCUCACCACCAUUGAGGACAUCUUCAAGAGGCAGUACCUUAAGAAGGUACAGGGUUUCACUAUAAAGACCCUCAGCAUCCAGGACAUGCCCUCUUCUCAUUACUACCGUCGGGGAAGAGGUACAGGAGCUUGAAGACCCUCACUCAACAAUUCAGAAACAGUUUCUUCCACUUCGCCAUCAGAUUUCAGAAUGGUGCGGGAACAUGACAGUUUUUUUUGCACGAUUUAUUUUGUACUUUAUAGUAGUUUUGAUUUUGCGAUUUACAGCUGCAGCAAAACAACAAAUUUCACAUCAUAGAAGACAGUGAUAAUAAACUGGAUGCUGAAGGUCAAUACAUAGGGGCAGCAGGACAUGAGAUUAUGAUAUCAUGGAUUAUGUAUAGCUCCAAUAUUGUAUUCUGGCUUCCUUGAUCUAAGAAACACUAUGCCAUUUUCUGUUCCAAUUUAUUUAUAAAAGGAUUAUUUUUAAUAUUUAUAUUCCAUGUGUUGCUUAUCUUUGUAUCAGCAAACUUGAAUGUGGAUAAUUUUUAAAAAUUGUUUUAUCUUAAUGUUAUCUUGCCACACAAAGUUGUUCAUGAACAAUAAAAGAGAUUUGAGAGCACAAUACAGGCUGCUAUGGGAUGUCGCCAGUAAUAGCCUGUUAAUUAGAGUACUUGCAUGUUAUCCCCUAUUUAGGUCUUCAGCUCAGUCAUCAUUAGUUUGGCUUCAAUUCCAUGAGCUUCAGUUUUCACUAAUUGUGUCUUUAAGAUGAGCUCUAUUGACUGGAAGUCCAUACAAGUAGAUGUUCCUCUAUCUACUAUUUACAGUUCUCUUUUUCUAAAUUUUAA
Molecule: long non-coding RNA, 1414 nt
Organism: Mobula hypostoma (lesser devil ray)
Lineage: Eukaryota; Metazoa; Chordata; Chondrichthyes; Myliobatiformes; Myliobatidae
Exons: 3
Source: RefSeq, a predicted model, not a curated record